RNAcentral lists this transfer RNA (63 nucleotides) under Ramazzottius varieornatus. Its description in RNAcentral is "tRNA-Tyr". The record is from RNAcentral. Lineage: Eukaryota; Metazoa; Tardigrada; Eutardigrada; Parachela; Ramazzottiidae.
GUCAAAAUGGCUGAGUAUAGGCGGUAAAUUGUAAAUUUACAUAUAGAUUUUUUCUUUUUGUUA